GCCCAGGUGGCGGAAUUGGUAGACGCGCUGGCUUCAGAAGCCAGUGCCCGAGAGGGCGUGUGGGUUCGAGUCCCACCCUGGGCACCA
Molecule: transfer RNA, 87 nt
Filed under: Burkholderia multivorans
Lineage: Bacteria; Pseudomonadati; Pseudomonadota; Betaproteobacteria; Burkholderiales; Burkholderiaceae
Description: tRNA-Leu
Rfam family: tRNA
About the family: Transfer RNA (tRNA) molecules are approximately 80 nucleotides in length. Their secondary structure includes four short double-helical elements and three loops (D, anti-codon, and T loops).
Source: RNAcentral